Long non-coding RNA from Syngnathus acus (greater pipefish), 1814 nucleotides. RefSeq lists it as uncharacterized. The record is from RefSeq and is a predicted model, not a curated record. The transcript is spliced from 3 exons. Lineage: Eukaryota; Metazoa; Chordata; Actinopteri; Syngnathiformes; Syngnathidae.
GACAUGCAAAUACGAGUUUGGGGCCGCAAAAUGAGAAGACAAAUAUCCUUCGUUUGCUUUAGCCGUACUUCACUUGUCCGUCAAUGCGAGCUUGUCUCGCUCCGUCAAUCUGUCACUCCGGGUGUCAGAAAGCAAGUAAAGCUUCACUUUAGAUCAAAUACAUUUUGAAAAAAGAGGAUUUUUGUUCCGCCAACUUUAAAACCGGUAAAGCCUGACACCUAUUUAAAAAAUAUAUAUAUAUUUUGCGUUAGUUUUGGUGGAUUUCUGUUUUUCUCAAUCCUAGAAUGAUCUCCUCAAAGAAGCAUGUUGAGAUUUGGAUUAUUUUGUGAUUCAAUGAACGCUAAAGCCUCAUUUGAAAAUGACUCUCAAGAGUUCAUAUUGUGACUCAUAACGCUUCAAUGAGAGAUGAUUCUCCAAGAGGCUUUUGUCACCUCGUGUUUGAUUGGUGUUCCCAUGGUGCUGUGUGUGUACGGCAUUCCAAGGUUUAGUCCUGCUCUCCUCUCAUUAACAUCCCAUCUGUCAAAUGUCAUCCUACUACGCUGCCACCCUGUCAUUAAGCUCAGAGUGGGGAUGGGGGGGCAUUGACGGACAAGUGAACUCUCACUCAUCACCGUCUUAUCCGAGGUUAGCAAAGUAAAAGUGAUAUUUUGCAAUGAGACGUGGAUAUUGAAAUCACACUAGAACACAACUAGAAUGCAGCUUGGCCAACUUGUGGUGAAUAUGAAGUGCCGCUUGCUUGUUCAUGUGUUCUUUAUGCGACUGAGUCGACUUCAGCCCGCAGAGUUGACAAAGAGCAAAACCAUGUGCUGGAAAGCGAUUCCACACCUUCACGGCUUUUUUUCCCACUGAACCCAAUUUGAUCAAAAUGAGGCCGGUAAAGAAAGGCCCAGUUUGUUGUGAGAGUUUGUGCUGACACGCACAAGGUCAAGCCUAUCUUUGGCUUUCUCCCAAACAAACACACACACACACAGGGAGGGCCAGGGCCACCUGGUCUCCCUCUCUGGGUCCUCAGUCGCAAGCAAAUGACACACGGCAGGUCUCGCACGCCCCAAUCGGACAAAAACAGCGAGUGUGUGUCCACGUGCCACAAUGUCACUAAACUGUGAGACGAUGCGGAUCCAAACAGAGGAAGCUUAGAAUAAAGCGACGGUUUGCGUCUGCCACCCUGGGAGAAACCGCUCUGUCAUGUCUACUACCUUACAACAGACGGAUUUUGUUUCUUUAAUACUUUGCUGUGUUGAAAACUUUGGAGAGAACUCCAGCGCACCGCUGAGCUAACCUCGUCUUAAAGUUCAGUCCACAACAGGCGUCCUGCCUCCCUCCCCGUCUCCCUCCCCGCCUCCCUCUAAACAUCUGCAAAUGCAUACGGCCAUUCAAAGCAUCCCGCAGCCAGGGGUGCUGUUGCUUUUCUCUCUUUCUUUUUCUUUCUCCAUUGCACUACUUGGAAGAAAAACAGCAGCGCCCGUCUUGGCACCGCUACGAACAUACGGAAUUUGGGUCGGUGCAUAUGUGUGCUGGACGGACGGACGGACGGGAGAGAUGGAAGACUAAAGUGAUCCCUGUGGAUGUGGAAUGUUCUCUGUUGGCUUUAAUAACUAAUCUCACAAGACUGAAGCCUUUAUAUGACAAGGCCAACACAGAUGAUAAUGAUAAGGCUAGUGUACAUGACCCCUGUGGUUUUUCAAAUGAUAAGCUUUCUUCAGGACCCACGUUUGACUUCACAUUUGGCAAGACCAUGCAGAGAAGAAAGUGAACAAAUAACAUGCAUGAAAAUAGCUCUACUAAAUCUUUGAAGCAACACAACAUGAUUAUAU